Molecule: long non-coding RNA, 618 nt
Filed under: Homo sapiens (human)
Lineage: Eukaryota; Metazoa; Chordata; Mammalia; Primates; Hominidae
Description: non-protein coding LINC02086:16
Source: RNAcentral
CACAUAUGAGUUGGUUUUCCUUACUUAAAAUAUGCUUAUCAUCCCUUGGAGCACUUGAAAAUAUUGGCUAUUUCCUUCUGACCCCCAUGGUUUCUUUUAAAAAAUUUGCUGUUGUUUGAAUUAUUUUUCUCUACAGGUAUUGACUGCUGCCUCAUGAAGGCUGGUCCUGUCUCUAUAGUGAAUAUUGUGCACCUCAGGGUAGAAUGGAGAGCAGAAGACUUCAAAUCAGGCAGUCUGGGUUCAGACCCCAAUUCUAGUGCUAAAUAGCUACGUGACUUUAGGCCGAUUGUGUGUGACUUCCCUGAGCCCCAGUCUCUUUGCCUGCAAAAUGAGAAAAAUUAUAACAAUGUCAUCGGUUGUUCUGAGGAUUCUGAGAGGAAUUAGUAGGAGAGAGAACUAAGAAGCUGCGGGCCUCUACAGAGCCAUUCAACUGGCAUUUCGGAAGAUGUUGCCCAUCAGAGUCAGACCUUCUUAGCAUCUUCCGGCUGGGCCCAAACUUCCCAAGACCAUUUGGACAAGGUCAUCUCUAUCCCACCAUGGCCUCCUCCCAGAGGAGGAGAAGAAUCAUGCUGUUACAGCAGAACCGAAGAUUUGGGCAAGGGAGCUAAUGAUUAUGUU